CAACCCACCUUGAAAGUCGGCCCUGGCGUCCUGUCCACGUAGGGGCUCUCUGACCCUUCGACUCUCAGGGGAGUGUUCUCAACUUCUCCCCACGUCAUCAACGGUGACUCAUUCACACCUGCAGAUGGAGAGCCCACACCUCAAACAGAGGACCUAGUUGGGGUGCUGUCUUCCUCCUAACACAUGUAUCCCAGCUGACAUUAAGGCCAACAGGCAAACCCUCUUCCCCAAAACUCCAGAGCCUAGCACCCCACCAUCUGAAGGGAAAUUUCAAAGACACCAGAGCCCCACGGCACGACAGCUGUACUUAGGUUGGAGAAGGUGGGUCUGUUGGACCCCAUCCUAGCACAGGGCCAGGGGUGCCGAGGGAAGCAUUACAGCAGCCGGCACUGAGUGUGGAGGCCAGUGUGCCGUGAGGCAAAAGAGCAACUAUGCAUCAAGGCCACACCCACUCUCGCCUGCCUCCCUGCAGAGACUGCAGGCCUGGAGUCCAGAACCUCCCCA
Molecule: long non-coding RNA, 504 nt
Organism: Peromyscus californicus insignis
Lineage: Eukaryota; Metazoa; Chordata; Mammalia; Rodentia; Cricetidae
Exons: 2
Source: RefSeq, a predicted model, not a curated record